UACGAAGGGAGCUAGCGUUGCUCGGAAUCACUGGGCGUAAAGGGUGCGUAGGCGGGUCUUUUAAGUCAGGGGUGAAAUCCUGGAGCUCAACUCCAGAACUGCCUUUGAUACUGAGGAUCUUGAGUUCGGGAGAGGUGAGUGGAACUGCGAGUGUAGAGGUGAAAUUCGUAGAUAUUCGCAAGAACACCAGUGGCGAAGGCGGCUCACUGGCCCGAUACUGACGCUGAGGCACGAAAGCGUGGGGAGCAAACAGGG
This 255-nucleotide ribosomal RNA is filed under the name uncultured bacterium. RNAcentral's name for it is "partial 16S ribosomal RNA". It matches the Rfam family "Bacterial small subunit ribosomal RNA", at positions 524 to 777 of the family's 1533-position model. The record is from RNAcentral.